GUCUAUGGCCAUACCACCCUGCACACACCCGAUUUCAUCUGAUCUCAGAAGCUAAGCAGAGUCGGCCAUGGUUAGUACUUGGAAGGGAAACAUCACGUAGUGUUCCAAUUUUGAAUUCUAGCUACUUUUCUGACU
RNAcentral lists this ribosomal RNA (135 nucleotides) under Chinchilla lanigera (long-tailed chinchilla). The record is from RNAcentral. Lineage: Eukaryota; Metazoa; Chordata; Mammalia; Rodentia; Chinchillidae.